RNAcentral lists this ribosomal RNA (467 nucleotides) under uncultured bacterium. Its description in RNAcentral is "partial 16S ribosomal RNA". It matches the Rfam family "Bacterial small subunit ribosomal RNA", at positions 28 to 507 of the family's 1533-position model. The record is from RNAcentral.
GACGAACGCUGGCGGCGUGCUUAACACAUGCAAGUCGAACGGAAAGGCCCUGCUUUUGUGGGGUGCUCGAGUGGCGAACGGGUGAGUAACACGUGAGUAACCUGCCCUUGACUUUGGGAUAACUUUAGGAAACUGGGGCUAAUACCGAUAGGAGCUCCUGCUGCAUGGUGGGGGUUGGAAAGUUUCGGCGGUUGGGGAUGGACUCGCGGCUUAUCAGCUUGUUGGUGGGGUAGUGGCUUACCAAGGCUUUGACGGGUAGCCGGCCUGAGAGGGUGACCGGCCACAUUGGGACUGAGAUACGGCCCAGACUCCUACGGGAGGCAGCAGUGGGGAAUAUUGCACAAUGGGCGGAAGCCUGAUGCAGCAACGCCGCGUGCGGGAUGACGGCCUUCGGGUUGUAAACCGCUUUCGCCUGUGACGAAGCGUGAGUGACGGUAAUGGGUAAAGAAGCACCGGCUAACUACGUG